Molecule: non-coding RNA, 77 nt
Organism: Daucus carota subsp. sativus
Lineage: Eukaryota; Viridiplantae; Streptophyta; Magnoliopsida; Apiales; Apiaceae
Source: Rfam
UGAAGUGAUGAAUUUUGCACUGGGCUCUGAUGAUUGUUGAUGCAUAACUAUGCAGCCUAGAAAGCUAUUUCUGAUCU